Molecule: non-coding RNA, 46 nt
Filed under: Trichobilharzia regenti
Lineage: Eukaryota; Metazoa; Platyhelminthes; Trematoda; Strigeidida; Schistosomatidae
Source: RNAcentral
GUACUGAUGAAGAGUCGCAAACUAGGACGAAACAGCUGUUCAGUAC